AUUGAACGCUGGCGGCAUGCCUUACACAUGCAAGUCGAACGGUAACGGGCCUUCGGGUGCCGACGAGUGGCGAACGGGUGAGUAAUGCAUCGGAACGUACCUUUCAGUGGGGGAUAACGUAGCGAAAAGUUACGCUAAUACCGCAUAUUCUGUGAGCAGGAAAGCAGGGGAUCGCAAGACCUUGCGCUGAUUGAGCGGCCGAUGUCAGAUUAGCUAGUUGGUGAGGUAAAGGCUCACCAAGGCGACGAUCUGUAGCGGGUCUGAGAGGAUGAUCCGCCACACUGGAACUGAGACACGGUCCAGACUCCUACGGGAGGCAGCAGUGGGGAAUUUUGGACAAUGGGGGCAACCCUGAUCCAGCCAUGCCGCGUGAGUGAAGAAGGCCUUCGGGUUGUAAAGCUCUUUCGGCCGGGAAGAAAUCGCAUGGGUUAAUACCCUGUGCGGAUGACGGUACCGGCAUAAGAAGCACCGGCUAACUACGUG
Molecule: ribosomal RNA, 483 nt
Filed under: uncultured bacterium
Lineage: Bacteria
Description: bacterial SSU rRNA
Rfam family: Bacterial small subunit ribosomal RNA
Source: RNAcentral